UACGGAGGGGGCGAGCGUUGUCCGGAGUUACUGGGCGUAAAGCGUGCGCAGGCGGUUAUGCAAGACAGAUGUGAAAUCCCCGGGCUCAACCUGGGAACUGCAUUUGUGACUGCAUGGCUAGAGUACGGUAGAGGGGGAUGGAAUUCCGCGUGUAGCAGUGAAAUGCGUAGAUAUGCGGAGGAACACCGAUGGCGAAGGCAAUCCCCUGGACCUGUACUGACGCUCAUGCACGAAAGCGUGGGGAGCAAACAGG
This 253-nucleotide ribosomal RNA is filed under the name uncultured bacterium. RNAcentral's name for it is "partial 16S ribosomal RNA". It matches the Rfam family "Bacterial small subunit ribosomal RNA", at positions 524 to 776 of the family's 1533-position model. The record is from RNAcentral.